CCUACGGGCGGCAGCAGUGAGGAAUAUUGGUCAAUGGGCGUAAGCCUGAACCAGCCAAGUCGCGUGAGGGAUGAAGGUUCUAUGGAUCGUAAACCUCUUUUAUAAGGGAAUAAAGUGUGGGACGUGUCCUGUUUUGUAUGUACCUUAUGAAUAAGGAUCGGCUAACUCCGUGCCAGCAGCCGCGGUAAUACGGAGGAUCCGAGCGUUAGCCGGAUUUAUUGGGUUUAAAGGGUGCGUAGGCGGCCUUUUAAGUCAGCGGUGAAAGUCUGUGGCUCAACCAUAGAAUUGCCGUUGAAACUGGGAGGCUUGAGUAUGUUUGAGGCAGGCGGAAUGCGUUGUGUAGCGGUGAAAUGCUUAGAUAUCACGCAGAACCCCGAUUGCGAAGGCAGCCUGCCAAGCCAUGACUGACGCUGAUGCACGAAAGCGUGGGGAUCAAACAGGAUUAGAUACCCCGGUAGUC
Molecule: ribosomal RNA, 460 nt
Filed under: uncultured bacterium
Lineage: Bacteria
Description: partial 16S ribosomal RNA
Rfam family: Bacterial small subunit ribosomal RNA
Source: RNAcentral